This 405-nucleotide ribosomal RNA is filed under the name uncultured Rhizomicrobium sp. RNAcentral describes it as "bacterial SSU rRNA". It matches the Rfam family "Bacterial small subunit ribosomal RNA", at positions 355 to 775 of the family's 1533-position model. The record is from RNAcentral. Lineage: Bacteria; Pseudomonadati; Pseudomonadota; Alphaproteobacteria; Micropepsales; Micropepsaceae.
UUGGGAAUCUUGGACAAUGGGGAAACCCGUAGCAUCCAGCCAUGCCGCGUGAGUGAUGAAGGCCUUAGGGUUGUAAAACUCUUUCGGCGGGACGAUAAUGACGGUACCCUCAGAAGAAGCUCCGGCUAACUUCGUGCCAGCAGCCGCGGUAAUACGAAGGGGCGUAGCGUUGUUCGGAAUUACUGGGCGUAAAGCGUGCGCAGGCGGCCAUCCAAGUCAGUGGUGAAAGCCCGGAGCUCAACUCCGGAAUUGCCAUUGAAACUGUUUGGCUCGAGUACGAGAGAGGUGAGUGGAAUUCCCAGUGUAGAGGUGAAAUUCGUAGAUAUUGGGAAGAACACCGGUGGCGAAGGCGGCUCACUGGCUUCGUAACUGACGCUCAUGCACGACAGCGUGGGGAUCAAAACA